AACGAACGCUGGCGGCAUGCCUAACACAUGCAAGUCGAACGAGACCUUCGGGUCUAGUGGCGCACGGGUGCGUAACGCGUGGGAACCUGCCCUUAGGUUCGGAAUAACUCCCCGAAAGGGGUGCUAAUACCGGAUAAUGUCUUCGGACCAAAGAUUUAUCGCCUUUGGAUGGGCCCGCGUUGGAUUAGCUAGUUGGUAGGGUAAAAGCCUACCAAGGCGACGAUCCAUAGCUGGUCUGAGAGGAUGAUCAGCCACACUGGGACUGAGACACGGCCCAGACCCCUACGGGAGGCAGCAGUGGGGAAUAUUGGACAAUGGGCGAAAGCCUGAUCCAGCAAUGCCGCGUGAGUGAUGAAGGCCUUAGGGUUGUAAAGCUCUUUUACCCGGGAUGAUAGUGACAGUACCGGGAGAAUAAGCGCCGGCUAACUCCGUG
RNAcentral lists this ribosomal RNA (433 nucleotides) under uncultured bacterium. Its description in RNAcentral is "partial 16S ribosomal RNA". It matches the Rfam family "Bacterial small subunit ribosomal RNA", at positions 29 to 507 of the family's 1533-position model. The record is from RNAcentral.